UACGGGGGGGGCAAGCGUUGUUCGGAAUUACUGGGCGUAAAGGGCUCGUAGGCGGCCAACUAAGUCAGACGUGAAAUCCCUCGGCUUAACCGGGGAACUGCGUCUGAUACUGGAUGGCUUGAGUUUGGGAGAGGGAUGCGGAAUUCCAGGUGUAGCGGUGAAAUGCGUAGAUAUCUGGAGGAACACCGGUGGCGAAGGCGGCAUCCUGGACCAACACUGACGCUGAGGCGCGAAAGCGUGGGGAGCAAACAGG
Molecule: ribosomal RNA, 253 nt
Filed under: uncultured bacterium
Lineage: Bacteria
Description: partial 16S ribosomal RNA
Rfam family: Bacterial small subunit ribosomal RNA
Source: RNAcentral